UGAAAAAUCUGACCUCAAGAAUUACCUCUGCAACCAUUUGAAGUUGGUAUUCCAAACAGGCCUUGGAUGGGAGGAUUACAUCACAGACCUGAUUUGUGCACAUUUGUAUUACCUUAUGAAACCCAAAGAAGAAAAUAUCAUUUAGAAAAGGAAUCACUGGAUGUGGGAAGAAAGGAGGAGGAAAGCAGCAGUAAUGGAGUGCUUGUGCCACAACACCUCCCAGAUGUUCGGGGUGCAUCUUACCAGCUGAGGACGGUCCUAGAAACAGGAGUGCAGCUGAAUCAGGUGAUGGCUGUGUUUAGUGGGAUGUUUGGGGUCUGUGUGAGUUAUAACUCACCCAGUAGAGGUCAGUCUGCCCGGUGUAAUCAGAUCCAUUUAGAGGAUGGUGGCCUCUUCCUUAAACCUCAGAUACUUCUGUAGGGCUUCACUGGCCUCAUUAUAUGAACCUGCUCAGGGUUCCUU
This 462-nucleotide long non-coding RNA is filed under the name Gallus gallus (chicken). RNAcentral's name for it is "lncRNA (ENSGALG00010018421.1)". Lineage: Eukaryota; Metazoa; Chordata; Aves; Galliformes; Phasianidae. The record is from RNAcentral.